RNAcentral lists this ribosomal RNA (492 nucleotides) under uncultured bacterium. RNAcentral describes it as "partial 16S ribosomal RNA". It matches the Rfam family "Bacterial small subunit ribosomal RNA", at positions 29 to 507 of the family's 1533-position model. The record is from RNAcentral.
AGUGAACGCUGGCGGUAGGCCUAACACAUGCAAGUCGAACGACAGCACAUUAAGAGCUUGCUCUUACGGGUGGCGAGUGGCGGACGGGUGAGGAAUACAUCGGAAUCUACUUUUUCGUGGGGGAUAGCGUAGGGAAACUUACGCUAAUACCGCAUACGACCUACGGGUGAAAGCAGGGGAUCUUCGGACCUUGCGCGAUUGAAUGAGCCGAUGUCGGAUUAGCUAGUUGGCGGGGUAAAGGCCCACCAAGGCGACGAUCCGUAGCUGGUCUGAGAGGAUGAUGAGCCACACUGGAACUGAGACACGGUCCAGACUCCUACGGGAGGCAGCAGUGGGGAAUAUUGGACAAUGGGCGCAAGCCUGAUCCAGCCAUACCGCGUGGGUGAAGAAGGCCUUCGGGUUGUAAAGCCCUUUUGUUGGGAAAGAAAAGCAGCAGGUUAAUACCCCGCUGUUCUGACGGUACCCAAAGAAUAAGCACCGGCUAACUUCGUG